GUAAACAAUGACUGGCGCACGGGAGAAGAAGUCUUAGCCUGGAUAUCCAUUAUCCAGAUAUCUGUAGCUGGCUACAAUGGAAGCCCCGAAACAUUGGCCCUCGCCCCAGAGGAUAAAUCGCACAGAGGAUAGCCAAUGGGUUCCAAGAUUGGUUUUGUUGUACCCGAACCAAUCAGUAGAGAGUGAUGUAGUCGUCCCGCCCCCAACUUACAAUAGCCUGGACAACCGUGUCAAAGUCAACCAUGCUUGUCAGACCAAAAUCACUAAACAAAAGAGAUGUGGGUGGUGAUUCGGAGGUCUGUAACCAGGCUAGCACAUAGUUUAUCAAACUGAACACAGUUGCUCAAAAGUUCAAUAUGGUUUUUAUAUCAUUUUGACCAGAUGAUAGAAGACUAACAAGUUGGCAGACUCAUUUUCUGUGUUGUCAUUAGAAUUCUAUCGAUUCUAUCGAAUUUGAUUUAGGGAACUCUCUACUUGGUGCAUCAAUUUAAGUAUGUAAAAUUGGCAUCAUAACACCUCUACUUCAAUCUGACAUUUAAAUGGUAAAUUUACUAAACUCUUAAUUUGCUGACUUUGGGUUUGGUAUUGGAGGUUUGCUGCAGUACCUAAGAUACCUGCCACUACCCCAUAAAUGUUAUUUUGCAAUUACAUUGGGCUUUUUUCUGUAAUUCACCAUUAUACCAUGUGGCAUCAGCACCAUGAAUAUUUUAUUCACUUCAUUAGUCAGGAAGUUCUUUCACUUCCUUAAAGAUGGGGUAGCCCAGUCUGGAGAAAUCCAAUACCAUGACAUAUACCAUGAUAUAGAGUGAACAAUGACAAUGUAACUAACGUUAACUAGGUUCUGGGUUAGCUUAGCUAGGUUGUGGGUUAACAGCCAGAGAGGACGAGAUGGUUUCCCAGAGCCAGCAAACUAGCUCCAGACGGUGAUACUCAUACUAUAGCUAACAUCACAUCAACAGCAUAUCUUGGCAAACUAGAAAGUAAGCUGAAUGUCCAUGGGCAAGUCAUUUAACUUUAUCUGACACACAAUUCAUGGCUGGAAUGUCUGGAAUUGUGGCUCAGUCCGAGCCACUUUGUUUAUUUCCCAUUUACAGAGCUGCUGUGUUUAUGCCUUUGUCCGGAACAGAAGCAGGUGUGGUUUACAGUGUGCGUUGUGAGGGAUGAGUUGUGUGCAGGAUUAGUUUUCAGGGCAACGGGAAGGACUAAGAGGAGAGGAGGAUUGUCUGAUUGUCUGUUAACUUGUGCUGUAGUGGAUACAGGCAGAGAUAUUAAGGAAGGACUGCUUCAUUAACUCUCAGGGUCCAUGGCCAGGGUCUGUCUGUGGCUGUCUGUGUCGCUCACCUUGGAAGACUGCUGCUCUUGCUCUUUUUCUCUUUCUCUGGCUCUCAGAUUAUGUCUGGUUCUUUCUGCUCUCUCUUUGCCUGCUAAGGUUGUAUUAAUACCAGGAGAAGCCAUGGUAGAUGCAUUGGAAUGAUUUCACUUACAUAAAGACAGAUGGGCUAAUUAUCUACCACCAUGAAGGACUGUAGAAGAAAUAACCUUAAAAUGUGGUUUCAAAUGAUAAAAUAAAGUUUAGAUACAUCUGUGUAUCACAUAAUAAAGGCAGGUUGAAUGGCCCAGUUAGACUCCUCUAAUGUGCUUUGAAAUCCACUCGUGAGACUAAACCAUAAAAAUUAAGUGUAUUUGUUCCCAUAUUCUACUAAGUAACAGUGUCUUGGUGUUAAUAUUGUAUUAACAGAGCUAAGUUCAGGUUUUCAUCUCACAGAAUAUGAUGUUUCCUGUGGUUGCAUGAUUCUAUUUUCUAUCAUUUCCUGUGUCAUGUGCCUGGUGAUAAACUUUUCUUUUUUCAGCAGGUUAUGCUAUAUUUCAGAUGGAACAAAGGGAAAAACUCACUAUUAGUUGCUGCCUCAAAAACAUUGAUUUACGGUUACAACCCAUUCUCAUUCCCAGGUCGUACAAUACUGAUAUUUUGUCAAACCUGCCGGCGUCUCAAUAGACACGCGAAAGAACCCUUUGAGCUUUGUGAUUCCCAUUGGAGAGCCGAGGCAUGACACACAUUUUCUGCCCAAAUAUGGAAUUCAGCGAGAGAACCAAAAGGCCGAAGCAGCUGUGAGACUCUUUUUAAGUGUGGAGCCUCUGUGAAUAGAUAAACCCACCCACCCUGAUGGUCACCAUCACCAAAGUGGAUUACCUACAAUGUAGUUGUAUAAUGCAGUCCAUAAGUAUUCUGACAGUCACACUCUUUUGUCUCUUUUAGCUCUGUAGUCCAGUAUACUGAUCUUGAAAUUAAACAAUGACUGAGAUUAAAGUG
Long non-coding RNA from Siniperca chuatsi (mandarin fish), 2311 nucleotides. RefSeq lists it as uncharacterized. The transcript is spliced from 3 exons. The record is from RefSeq and is a predicted model, not a curated record. Lineage: Eukaryota; Metazoa; Chordata; Actinopteri; Centrarchiformes; Sinipercidae.